This 492-nucleotide ribosomal RNA is filed under the name uncultured bacterium. RNAcentral's name for it is "partial 16S ribosomal RNA". It matches the Rfam family "Bacterial small subunit ribosomal RNA", at positions 29 to 507 of the family's 1533-position model. The record is from RNAcentral.
AGUGAACGCUGGCGGUAGGCCUAACACAUGCAAGUCGAACGGCAGCACAGUAAGAGCUUGCUCUUACGGGUGGCGAGUGGCGGACGGGUGAGGAAUACAUCGGAAUCUACUUUUUCGUGGGGGAUAACGUAGGGAAACUUACGCUAAUACCGCAUACGACCUACGGGUGAAAGCAGGGGACCUUCGGACCUUGCGCGAUUGAAUGAGCCGAUGUCGGAUUAGCUAGUUGGCGGGGUAAAGGCCCACCAAGGCGACGAUCCGUAGCUGGUCUGAGAGGAUGAUCAGCCACACUGGAACUGAGACACGGUCCAGACUCCUACGGGAGGCAGCAGUGGGGAAUAUUGGACAAUGGGCGCAAGCCUGAUCCAGCCAUACCGCGUGGGUGAAGAAGGCCUUCGGGUUGUAAAGCCCUUUUGUUGGGAAAGAAAAGCAGCAAGUUAAUACCCCGCUGUUCUGACGGUACCCAAAGAAUAAGCACCGGCUAACUUCGUG